AUUGAACGCUGGCGGCAUGCUUUACACAUGCAAGUCGAACGGUAACAGGGAGCUUGCUCCGCUGACGAGUGGCGAACGGGUGAGUAAUGCAUCGGAACGUACCCAGUCGUGGGGGAUAACGUAGCGAAAGUUACGCUAAUACCGCAUACGUCCUGAGGGAGAAAGCGGGGGACCGUAAGGCCUCGCGCGAUUGGAGCGGCCGAUGUCGGAUUAGCUAGUUGGUGGGGUAAAGGCCUACCAAGGCGACGAUCCGUAGCGGGUCUGAGAGGAUGAUCCGCCACACUGGGACUGAGACACGGCCCAGACUCCUACGGGAGGCAGCAGUGGGGAAUUUUGGACAAUGGGGGCAACCCUGAUCCAGCCAUGCCGCGUGAGUGAAGAAGGGCCUUCGGGUUGUAAAGCUCUUUCUAGACGGAAAGAAAACGACAAUCGGUGGAAUACCCGAUGUGGAUGACGGUACCGUAACGAAGAAAGCACCGGCUAACUACGUGCCAGCAGCCGCGGUAAACCGUAAGCGU
Molecule: ribosomal RNA, 518 nt
Filed under: uncultured bacterium
Lineage: Bacteria
Description: bacterial SSU rRNA
Rfam family: Bacterial small subunit ribosomal RNA
Source: RNAcentral